RNAcentral lists this ribosomal RNA (253 nucleotides) under uncultured bacterium. RNAcentral's name for it is "partial 16S ribosomal RNA". It matches the Rfam family "Bacterial small subunit ribosomal RNA", at positions 524 to 776 of the family's 1533-position model. The record is from RNAcentral.
UACGUAGGGUGCAAGCGUUAAUCGGAAUUACUGGGCGUAAAGCGUGCGCAGGCGGUUUUGUAAGUCUGUCGUGAAAGCCCCGGGCUCAACCUGGGAAUUGCGAUGGAGACUGCAAGGCUUGAAUCUGGCAGAGGGGGGUAGAAUUCCACGUGUAGCAGUGAAAUGCGUAGAGAUGUGGAGGAAUACCGAUGGCGAAGGCAGCCCCCUGGGUCAAUACUGACGCUCAUGCACGAAAGCGUGGGGAGCAAACAGG